GCUGGACAUGGUGGUGCAUGCCUGUAAUCCCAGCACUUGGGAGGCUGAGGUGGGAGAAUCGCUUGAAUCCAGGAGGCAGAGGGUGCAGUGAGCCAAGGUCACACCAUUGCACUCCAGCCUGGGUGAUACAGUGAGAUUCCAUCUCAC
This is an unclassified non-coding RNA of Macaca fascicularis (crab-eating macaque), 147 nucleotides long. It matches the Rfam family "Metazoan signal recognition particle RNA". From Rfam's summary of the family: The signal recognition particle (SRP) is a universally conserved ribonucleoprotein. It is involved in the co-translational targeting of proteins to membranes. The record is from Ensembl. Lineage: Eukaryota; Metazoa; Chordata; Mammalia; Primates; Cercopithecidae.